Molecule: long non-coding RNA, 389 nt
Organism: Urocitellus parryii (Arctic ground squirrel)
Lineage: Eukaryota; Metazoa; Chordata; Mammalia; Rodentia; Sciuridae
Source: Ensembl
AAAUAGUGGAACAAAAGGACCAACUUCCUCGGAGCUUUGCUGAAACUGCACAAAAAAUCGAGCUGGGGGGUUCCCUGGUCCCUGGCGAUGGGGCGGGGAGCACAGCGCCGAGGGAGGGGGCGGGAGCGGCAGCCCGGGCCCCGCCGAGGGGGGACACCUGGCUGAGGCACAGCUGCCGCCGCGCCGCUCCGCGCGAGCGCUCCCGUCUCUGCGCGGGCUCGAGAGCUCGCUCCGACCGGGGGUCUUCCUCCACCGUUGACAGGUUUAAUAAUGACAAAAUGAAGACCACAAUAAAACAGCCCCCUACUAGCCCAGGAAUUCUUACUUUGUGGAUAUUACUAUCCCUUCCUCAUGGAAAAUGUUUUAUUCUAAGUGUUGUUUCUCAUUGA